RNAcentral lists this long non-coding RNA (4460 nucleotides) under Triticum aestivum (bread wheat). RNAcentral's name for it is "long non-coding RNA (TAES_LNC005356)". Lineage: Eukaryota; Viridiplantae; Streptophyta; Magnoliopsida; Poales; Poaceae. The record is from RNAcentral.
GCAAUUAUGCACAGGACCAAAACCGAUCAAGCAAAGGUACGACAUACAGGGUAAAGUUGCACAUCCAACAUAUAUUACAGGAAAUUACAUCCACUAGGCAAUCAAAGAUUGAUGCCAGUGCAAAUAAAUGAACAGAACCUAACGAUCUACAACAUCAGAAUCUGCAACCUCAGCAUGGAUGACGCCCAUAAGCAUGUGGGCAAGUUCUUGCUGCUUUGCUACAUCGUCUCUGAAAACUUUGAUCAGUUAUUGUGUCACACGACUCUGCACCUCUGAUUCCUCCACCAUUUCCAUCAUUCCUUCAGCCAUUAAUUGGUUCACAAACAUACAUUUUUUCCGUUGCAUUCGAGACAAAGGAUACUGAACAGAUUCAUAUGGCGAUUUUGGCAGGCUUGUAUUAUUGAUAGUGGAGAGUGUCUCGACCACUGCAUGAUAACAUAAAUUAGGAGGGGAACCAAACAGAAUAAUCAUGAUUUAUUGCCAUAUUACCUGGCCUAGAUUUAUUGGAAAGAAACAAUGGGGUUGCCUUGCUGUUUUCAGAGUUUGUCUUCUUAUCUUCAGCAGCCUGCACCAAAUUAAGACACUAGCAUUGCUAUCAUUGGCCAAGUCAGAUAAUAGGAAUGCAACAUCUAUUAUAUAUAAAAAGUGCUUUACGGAUUUAUGGACUAGCCAGAUAAAAGAUAAAUAGGCUAGAAAUUAUCACAAAAAAUAGAAACAUCUGACCAUUCAAUCAAAUAGACAAUUUAUUUAAUAACUGUUAGAUUAGAUUUAACUUGAAAAUUUUACCCACCAUGGCCAUUACAAUGGAACAACACGUCGAUCCCAUGCCUCUUGCAUUUUUUUCCUUUAAAAAAGGUAAAAUAUCCUACCGUCAAAUCUGAUAAACCAUCCAUUACUUCCCACGAACUCUCCUGCCCCGUACUUACAACCACACCAUCACCAAAAAACCUAUCUAAACCCUAGAUUGGCCGCACCAUCAUCUUCCGCGUUGCCUCAAUAUUCCAGCCCUACGUCCUUACUCCUCUCUGGUAUGCAAAGAAAAGGAGGACAGACUGGCAGAUAUGGAUGGAAGACAUAGGCCGACCCCUCUGACUCCGAGGUGGCUCAGCAUCAGCACAACGGCCAAAGACAAUGGCAAGGUAGGUACUUGAUCGAUUCUACCAGACCAUCCAAGCCUAUCCCUGGUCAUUGCAUGCACAGCCUUUUGUUUUUGCUAUUCAACUCUUUUUUUGUUACCAUAAUUGUUCUAUUCAUCAAUUAACAACACACAUAGAAGUUGAUAUUUGAUGCCAAAAUAUACAUAAGCAUCAUCAAGUUGAUUCUUUUGUCACAUGCAACGUACAUGAAAGGAGAAUAACCAUCCGACAAUAAAAUAUUGGUUCCUGGCCAUUAGUGUCCAUGGACAUCUAUAAUUUUCCACCUAAGAUUUUGAUUACUGUGACUUUCUUAAUCAAACUUUGAAAUAGCUAUUUCCCGUCAACAUUCACAGUUGUCCCAUAAGCAUCUUCUAAUCCCUUUGCACCUCCACAAACAAAUCUUAGUGCUCAGAUCAGGUAAUUUUUAUUAUCUACAUAGGAAUAGUUAUUUAGAGGUACCUAAAAAAUAUCAAAAUUAUAAUUGACCUCUUUGGCUCAAGGUAUGCAUGACAGACAUGGAGAAAAAAAGCAAUGUUCGCUUGUGACACAAUAAGCACUGUUUUCUUGAUCUUAAACAUUGGUGGUUGUCACCUCCUUUUUAUUAGCUACGGCCUAAUCCUUACCUUUGAUUUCUUCCCAACUCUAUUCAUUUAGUAAAUGGCUAAUGCAUUUCAAGUAUCUUGAUUGUCUGCUUAUGAACUACAUAAUAUAAGAAGAUAAAUUUUUAUAUAAAAACUGCAUAAUUAAAAUGCAUCUCACUUCGUGGUUACACCAGAACUGCUAGGAACUAACAACAUUAAACCUUUUGGACUGUGGCUAAAGCAUUCUGCAUGCAAUUCUGCCGAUCUCACUGUCAAAGUUCACACCAUGCACAAAUACAAUUAAAGGGAAGAAUAAAUUAGGUCCUCCAACUGAUAAACCAUAAUCCACAGAACACCGUCAAGCAACCUUGGCUAAACUCUAAAACUCCUCUCCUACUAACGGCACCUCCUUGAAAGACUUGACGCAAGUCCUUUAGAGAAUUUCACUAUAACUGAAGUUUUCGACUAGGCCGGUUCUGAAAGUUUGAAGGAUCGAACCAUUACCCUCUGUUAUUCCAAGACCUGUGUCCACUCAGCCGACCACCAGCCCGGCUUAAUUGUCUUCACAAUGACAGCAAAUUUCAAAUAUAAGCGAGAUUUAUGUUCUUUUGCUAGAGUAAGUUAUUUAAAUUAUGUAAGCAAUUUUAAAGUUAUGUAUAUAACUCUUUACAUUACCUUUACAUGAUGAAAUUCUUUCAGUGGUGAGAAGAUAGGGACCACUCUAUGGGCAAACCUUUUUGCAAGUAUGGUUACUGGAGGUUUUGCACAAACAAACAAUCAUCACUGUCACUACAAAAUUUAUCAGAUAAAUUUUUUGAAGUUCAGAGUUCUCAUCUUUGAUUUUUUUGCAUAUGCUGCUCAUCCUAAUAUUUAAUUAUGUAAAUUUUAUUGAUAUUACUUCUUCAUUUCUCACAUAUACUUAAAUUUAUUUUAGUCUCAAAGAAUUAAAGAAAGAGGCUUUUGUUUAUAACAGCAAUAGAUGUGAAAAGGAGGCGUACUCAAUUGAAGAUGUAGAUCAGUAACAUGUCUGAUCCACAUAAUCAUUCCAGAAAAUGAACACAUACUUAUGAUAGACCUGCACCUCUACUACUCGGAUUUUCACUUUUUUGCUCCUAAUAUUCAAUGAAUGAUUACAAACAUGAGGACAAACACUUGGUAGAAACAACAAAUAAAUGAGAUCAAAGAAUCUGCUAUCUAAAGAAGUGCUCAAACUAUAAAAAAGAAAGGAAAGAAGUUGCUAAUAAACAAAUAAAACUAUUUUUAAAGGGGUUUACGCUAUUAACCUACUGACUAGCAGCAUCCAUGGACUAUGAUCGUUGGAAUCUCCAUUGUACAGGAGGACUAAAUUGCCAGGCCAGGAUAGCAAAACUCGGUAGUGUUUACAUAUAUUCUGCUUCACCGCAUCAAACAUGGAGAGCCAGAACCGAUUUCACUCAACUAAUUAUACACUACUGAUUAUGUACUUUAAUGUACCAUUAUCCAUUGUCUAUUUGGGAAUUUCUUACAUAAGAGUGGUUCAUGCAGUACAAACCAAAGGAAUUGGUCAGACAGAAACAAAGAUUUAUUAAAAAGAGCAUGCGCCGCUACUUGCAUACAUAUGAAGUAGAUGGGUGUUGGCUUUAACAUUCGCUGGGGUAGAGGACAUGUCAAUCCUAGUGAACUAGAUGGAUGAUACUGCCUUUUAUGCAUUACAUAUAAUCAUAAGUACAUGAAAAAAUAGUACACUAUAGACUACCAUCAAAAUAAUAACUGACUUACCUAGGCUAACAAGAUAUGAUAGGACGGAUAUGGUCAACUACUCCGCAUAAGUAUGGGAAAAAUGCAUCAACAUUUGAUUUAAAUAGUUCAGUAAUACCAAACACCGGAGAUGGUCAACUACUCCACAUAAGUACCGGAAAAAUGCAUCAACAUUUGAUGGAAAUAGUUUAGAAAUACCAAACAUUGACACUCUAACAUAUGAUAUUUGAAGCUUAUUAUAUAGUACAACAAUGUUGAGAGCAUCAGAUCAUCGUUAUAUGUCACGUGUAGAAUGCAAUCAGACCUAAUUUUACUACCCAGUUACUAAAUUUAAUUUGGCUUAAGCUGCGUUGGCGUCCAGACUUACUACUAUCUCAUUUCAAUAGCAGCCUGUAUACCAUUUGUCACUAUUAAGAAGUAUCUUAAAGUAUGGUUCAGUCGUACAAAGACAGAAAAAACAAAAAUGAAGAGGGGGAACCUGCAGGUGAAAGAAUGCGACACUGAAGUCGGGUUGCGACUGUCGAAAAUGAAGACGAUGCGUCGGCGUGCCCGCUUGGGGACAACUACGAUGCCUCCGGCCCGGCACUCGGGGACGGAUAACAACCCCAGGAUCCCGACAACCACAACCUACAGGAGCUAAGGGGAACGAGAUCCACUCCUUCAAUGCCUCAAUUGAAGCCGGCGGCAACUGCGCCGUCGAGUACGACGAGCUCGCAUCCUCCCUCGCGUAGCUGAUAUCAGGGCCCCGAUACCCGUUGACGGCCCUGGAGAUCGACGCGGCAUGCGCGCAAGCAAACUAUGCGCAGUCCCAACCACGAGGUGUGUGAGUGAGGACCACGAAGUAGGAGAGGAGACUGAGGGGAGCUUCGAGGUGAUCCUCACAUAUGCGGUAGAUCCAGGCUGGCUCAUCCUUUUCCAUGGCUGGGAGUGGGAGCUUUGGAGAAGACAAGACUUUCUUUUUUGGGAUAGGGAGAAGACAAGAAGACUUGAGAUAGGAGAAAAUGAA